AUUGAUCGCUGGCGGCAGGCCUAACACAUGCAAGUCGAGCGGAUGAAGGGAGCUUGCUCCUGGAUUCAGCGGCGGACGGGUGAGUAAUGCCUAGGAAUCUGCCUGGUAGUGGGGGAUAACGUCCAGAAACGGGCGCUAAUACCGCAUACGUCCUGAGGGAGAAAGUGGGGGAUCUUCGGACCUCACGCUAUCAGAUGAGCCUAGGUCGGAUUAGCUAGUUGGUGGGGUAAAGGCCUACCAAGGCGACGAUCCGUAACUGGUCUGAGAGGAUGAUCAGUCACACUGGAACUGAGACACGGUCCAGACUCCUACGGGAGGCAGCAGUGGGGAAUAUUGGACAAUGGGCGAAAGCCUGAUCCAGCCAUGCCGCGUGUGUGAAGAAGGUCUUCGGAUUGUAAAGCACUUUAAGUUGGGAGGAAGGGCAGUAAGUUAAUACCUUGCUGUUUUGACGUUACCAACAGAAUAAGCACCGGCUAACUUCGUG
Molecule: ribosomal RNA, 484 nt
Filed under: uncultured bacterium
Lineage: Bacteria
Description: partial 16S ribosomal RNA
Rfam family: Bacterial small subunit ribosomal RNA
Source: RNAcentral